GUAGAGCACUGUUUCGGCAAGGGGGUCAUCCCGACUUACCAACCCGAUGCAAACUGCGAAUACCGGAGAAUGUUAUCACGGGAGACACACGGCGGGUGCUAACGUCCGUCGUGAAGAGGGAAACAACCCAGACCGCCAGCUAAGGUCCCAAAGUCAUGGUUAAGUGGGAAACGAUGUGGGAAGGCCCAGACAGCCAGGAUGUUGGCUUAGAAGCAGCCAUCAUUUAAAGAAAGCGUAAUAGCUCACUGGUCGAGUCGGCCUGCGCGGAAGAUGUAACGGGGCUAAACCAUGCACCGAAGCUGCGGCAGCGACGCUUAUGCGUCGUUGGGUAGGGGAGCGUUCUGUAAGCCUGUGAAGGUGUGCUGUGAGGCAUGCUGGAGGUAUCAGAAGUGCGAAUGCUGACAUAAGUAACGAUAAAGCGGGUGAAAAGCCCGCUCGCCGAAAGACCAAGGGUUCCUGUCCAACGUUAAUCGGGGCAGGGUGAGUCGACCCCUAAGGCGAGGCCGAAAGGCGUAGUCGAUGGGAAACAGGUUAAUAUUCCUGUACUUGGUGUUACUGCGAAGGGGGGACGAGAAGGCUAUGUUGGCCGGGCGACGGUUGUCCCGGUUUAAGCGUGUAGGCUGGUUUUCCAGGCAAAUCCGGAAAAUCAAGGCUGAGGCGUGAUGACGAGGCACUACGGUGCUGAAGCAACAAAUGCCCUGCUUCCAGGAAAAGCCUCUAAGCAUCAGGUAACAUCAAAUCGUACCCCAAACCGACACAGGUGGUCAGGUAGAGAAUACCAAGGCGCUUGAGAGAACUCGGGUGAAGGAACUAGGCAAAAUGGUGCCGUAACUUCGGGAGAAGGCACGCUGAUAAUGUAGGUGAAGUCCCUCGCGGUAUGGAGCUGAAAUCAGUCGAAGAUACCAGCUGGCUGCAACUGUUUAUUAAAAACACAGCACUGUGCAAACACGAAAGUGGACGUAUACGGUGUGACGCCUGCCCGGUGCCGGAAGGUUAAUUGAUGGGGUCAGCGCAAGCGAAGCUCUUGAUCGAAGCCCCGGUAAACGGCGGCCGUAACUAUAACGGUCCUAAGGUAGCGAAAUUCCUUGUCGGGUAAGUUCCGACCUGCACGAAUGGCGUAAUGAUGGCCAGGCUGUCUCCACCCGAGACUCAGUGAAAUUGAACUCGCUGUGAAGAUGCAGUGUACCCGCGGCAAGACGGAAAGACCCCGUGAACCUUUACUAUAGCUUGACACUGAACAUUGAGCCUUGAUGUGUAGGAUAGGUGGGAGGCUUUGAAGUGUGGACGCCAGUCUGCAUGGAGCCGACCUUGAAAUACCACCCUUUAAUGUUUGAUGUUCUAACGUUGACCCGUGAUCCGGGUUGCGGACAGUGUCUGGUGGGUAGUUUGACUGGGGCGGUCUCCUCCUAAAGAGUAACGGAGGAGCACGAAGGUUGGCUAAUCCUGGUCGGACAUCAGGAGGUUAGUGCAAUGGCAUAAGCCAGCUUGACUGCGAGCGUGACGGCGCGAGCAGGUGCGAAAGCAGGUCAUAGUGAUCCGGUGGUUCUGAAUGGAAGGGCCAUCGCUCAACGGAUAAAAGGUACUCCGGGGAUAACAGGCUGAUACCGCCCAAGAGUUCAUAUCGACGGCGGUGUUUGGCACCUCGAUGUCGGCUCAUCACAUCCUGGGGCUGAAGUAGGUCCCAAGGGUAUGGCUGUUCGCCAUUUAAAGUGGUACGCGAGCUGGGUUUAGAACGUCGUGAGACAGUUCGGUCCCUAUCUGCCGUGGGCGCUGGAGAACUGAGGGGGGCUGCUCCUAGUACGAGAGGACCGGAGUGGACGCAUCACUGGUGUUCGGGUUGUCAUGCCAAUGGCACUGCCCGGUAGCUAAAUGCGGAAGAGAUAAGUGCUGAAAGCAUCUAAGCACGAAACUUGCCCCGAGAUGAGUUCUCCCUGACUCCUUGAGGGUCCUGAAGGAACGUUGAAGACGACGACGUUGAUAGGCCGGGUGUGUAAGCGCAGCGAUGCGUUGAGCUAACCGGUACUAAUGAACCGUGAGGCUUAACCUU
Molecule: ribosomal RNA, 2047 nt
Filed under: Escherichia coli Jurua 18/11
Lineage: Bacteria; Pseudomonadati; Pseudomonadota; Gammaproteobacteria; Enterobacterales; Enterobacteriaceae
Description: bacterial LSU rRNA
Rfam family: Bacterial large subunit ribosomal RNA
Source: RNAcentral